Long non-coding RNA from Triticum dicoccoides, 3008 nucleotides. RefSeq lists it as uncharacterized. NCBI's taxonomy places the organism in Eukaryota, Viridiplantae, Streptophyta, Magnoliopsida, Poales, Poaceae. The record is from RefSeq and is a predicted model, not a curated record. The transcript is spliced from 5 exons.
CCUGCUCCGCUGUUGCCCCUCCCUCCGCCUGCCUCGCCCCCUCCCCUACACUCACCCCUGCCCGAUCUGGAUCUGGAUGAGGCGUUGCCUCCCGUUCCUCUCAUCGCGUCCCUUCUGCCAGCCAUGGAAGAGGGGAGGAAGAAGCUUCUCUGUAGAAUCAGCCGAUCGAGCGGGCUCCUGAUGUUGGCUUGCGAGAAUGCGGCAGAUCUCGUCGAUGCUGCAGGGCCUGGCCCGUUCCAUGUCUCUGGGAAAGGAUAGGAAGGUGGAGGAGGAGCACCAGGGGACGGUGCUGCGGUCGUCGGGGACGCUCUGGGGCGAGGGCUUCGAGACGUUCGCUGCCGCGUGCUGGACGUACAAGCACCAGCACCUCUGCUGGCCGUUUCCUCCAUACUGACAGAUCGCCGUGUUGCUAUCCUUGUAUGUUGUAGCCAGGAGGAGAGGUAGGCGCGGUGCCGCUCAUGGCCGUGGCGUCGUGCUUGUGGUAGUGGUGAAUUGGAGAGAACGACCUCCUAUCUAUGCACGUCCAUCUACUGCGGGCUUUCCCUCUUCCAGCAACAUCAUGUCUCAGUUUGCCGCCGCCAUUCAUCCGGAUGGCCCUGGACAUACAUACCAGCACCACACCCUUCCUCCUGUUGCUGGGGACGCAGCUAUCAUCGGUCCUCUGUUGUCUGCAGCCCGGACGUACAAGCCGUCGAAGCUGACGUUCCUUUGCAUAGGCUGCACAGACGGGUGUACAAGUUGUUGCUUCUGUUCAUCCACGCGCCAGUGACUCACAUACGUUGCUAGCUUUUGUUACUUGGUCCAUCCCUAGGAAGCAAUAAGAUUACUUCAGUAUGCAUAUACACGUUGCUAGCUACGUGCAGGGUAUCUCAAGUUCACAAAUAUUUAUGAGAUUGUUUUACUAGCUUUUGUUAUUAUUUGGCCCUUCAGUAUGCAGAUUGAUCUCAACAUUCAUAAGAAUCUUAAAAAAAAAUGGAGAUGAAAAUACUUCAAGUAGUUCUGAGUGGACAUCAUUUGAUAGCAUUUUGUUGUAGCAUCUACAGAAGACCUUUUCAUUUCAUUUUACCGAGAAACGCUGGAGGGUUCAUGUUUUCCUUAUCCAGGACAUUUUGAAGGUUCCUGAUGCAUUCUUACAAGAAGCAACAAUCCAGAGGGAUACGGGUGCCAGGACGACACCAUCUUCUGCGCCGUCUGCCUUCCUCUCCUCCAGCGGGAGAGGCCCCUGCCUUCCUCUCCUCCUGCGUGGUGGCAGAUGGCCGCAGUUAACAGCGCUCCUGCGAGCGGGGGACACGAGUGCGGUGCAGACAGUGACCAGGUGUGACGAGACAGCCGCCGGCCAACUGUGGGCGGUUCUUUCACGUGCAGUAGACCGUGCCAUUCUAUGACGAGGAUGUGUUCCAGGAAAUGGAAACAAAUGAAACUGGAUGCUCAUCAUGUAUUUCAUGAAGAAAUUUGCAUGUCUGGGGCAUGUCUCCAUAUAAAAGGCCGAUCUCUGCACAACAGUAGUUUCUUCAGGUUAUGGUGUCCGAUUUUUUUCAUCUCAUUUUGCCAUGCACUAGAUUACAUGGUUAAUACUGUCACUAUGCAAUAACUGGGAAGAUUACGGAGGGAAGGGACAAUAUGUAAGAUGGGGCAAGGAGGCUGGUGUAGAUCUUGCUUCUCAUGACGACUUCAUAUCUGAUGCAACACUUCAGAGCUACUACAAAAGCUUUUUUUAGGAAGCUACUACAAAGCUUUUUUUCGGAAGCUACUACAAAGCUUUAGUUCAGGAAAUAUGUCGAAGCACAGAAUAUAUUCCAUUUGCAGUGGACUAACAGAACAACACAACACAUAAAAAGAGGAGUAUAAGUGGAAACCUUUCUUUAUCUUUAAAUUCUUGAGGACGGUAACAUUAUGAUGAAGGUGGAACCAUAAAGAGAUGUGUAUUUUUAAUUGGGAUAUUUUCAGGAGUACCUUUGCAAAGCUGAUAUAUCUUUCUUUUACAAGAUAUGGUUGCACUUGCUUCAUCUACAUAGGCCGUCUGGAAUGCCAUGAGACCGGGAUUGGUGUAGGAAAUCUUCAAAGCUAUUAUAUUGGUCUCCAGAAACUUGCAAUACAUCAAUGCAUUUUUAUUUUUAUUUUUUUGCUGACACCACAGCUACCACCUCUUCACUAAAUGACAGAGGUUGCCAGCAACUGCACAUGGAAAGAUUGAAUGUUAUAUUCUGUCUACUAAUCAAUAAGGAGGGAGAUCAAAUUACUGCUCUCAAAUAUUCACCUGAUUGAUUUUGAAAAUAGGGUUAAAAAUGGUGUUAUGAAUGAAGAUGGAUGAGGGUGAGGGCUGGGAGAAGAUGUUGUAUUGCAAGAAGAAGUUGGUUAAGAAGACUGAUGAUUAUGAGAAUGAAGGACACGAACUUUUGAAUUAGACCAAUUGUUUGAUCGAUCAUUUUUGUUCUCUUGAAAACGAUGUAUGGUCAAUUUUAGUAUUCUGAUGUGAUUGAAGAAUAUAGGAGGGACAAAGAGAUGCGCUACUGCCAGGACAAUUAUGACUUUCUAUUCAGGUAUUCAGUUAUGAUUCUCCAUGGUCAUGCUUCUCCUAUUCACCUGGAAGUUUAUUGAUGGGAGGGAAGCCACUUCUGCUUUGAUGAUUUCUUGGAAGUUCAGCUAGGUGAAUUUACGAUCAGUAUAUACAAGUCAGGUUGUUUGCGAGAAAAUUUCAUUCCUUAGAAUCAUUGUCAUUGUUGUUGCCUACAAGGUACUUGAAGAAAAUGCCCGAGACAUAUUUUAAGGAGUAUAAUUCAGCACUAAGGCUAUUAUUACAACGAUGAAAUCUUUGUUGUGGUAGUUAUGUCUUCAAAUGUGUCGAUCCCUAUCGGCUUACUGAAAUAAACUUUUUUUUGUCGAUUUCUAUUGGCUUACUGACAGCUUGUUUAUUCUUUUCGAAUUUUAAUUCCUUGAUCUUUGCCUCUGCCCAUCUCCAUAUCACACAGAAGGUGCUCAGUGCAAUGCAUCAUGCAGUGAUUCCAUGA